UACGUAGGGGGCAAGCGUUGUCCGGAAUCACUGGGCGUAAAGCGUGCGUAGGCGGUUUCGUAAGUCUGAAGUGAAAGUCCAGGGCUCAACCUUGGGAAUGCUUUGGAAACUGCGAGACUUGAGUACUGGAGAGGCAAGGGGAAUUCCACGUGUAGCGGUGAAAUGCGUAGAUAUGUGGAGGAAUACCAGUGGCGAAGGCGCCUUGCUGGACAGUGACUGACGCUGAGGCACGAAAGCGUGGGGAGCAAACAGGAUUAGAUACCCUGGUAGUCCACGCCGUAAACGAUGAGUGCUAGGUGUUGGGGGUUCACGCCCUCAGUGCCGAAGGAAACCCAAUAAGCACUCCGCCUGGGGAGUACGGUCGCAAGACUGAA
Molecule: ribosomal RNA, 374 nt
Filed under: uncultured bacterium
Lineage: Bacteria
Description: bacterial SSU rRNA
Rfam family: Bacterial small subunit ribosomal RNA
Source: RNAcentral